This 495-nucleotide ribosomal RNA is filed under the name uncultured Sphingobacteriales bacterium. RNAcentral describes it as "bacterial SSU rRNA". It matches the Rfam family "Bacterial small subunit ribosomal RNA", at positions 904 to 1382 of the family's 1533-position model. The record is from RNAcentral. Lineage: Bacteria; Pseudomonadati; Bacteroidota; Sphingobacteriia; Sphingobacteriales.
GCCAGCCCGCUCAGAACUCAAGGAAUUGACGGGGCCCGCACAAGCGGAGGAGCAUGUGGUUUAAUUCGAUGAUACGCGAGGAACUUACCUGGGCUCGAACGUAAGAUGACUGUAGGUGAAAGCUUACAUCUCUUCGGAGCAUUUUACGAGGUGCUGCAUGGUUGUCGUCAGCUCGUGCCGUGAGGUGUCGGGUUAAGUCCCAUAACGAGCGCAACCCCUACCUUUAGUUGCCAUCAGGUAAUGCUGGGGACUCUAAAGGAACUGCCUACGCAAGUAGUGAGGAAGGCGGGGAUGACGUCAAAUCAGCACGGCCCUUACGUCCAGGGCUACACACGUGCUACAAUGGCCGAUACAGAGGGCAGCUACCUGGUGACAGGAUGCAAAUCUCCAAAGUCGGUCUCAGUUCGGAUCGGAGUCUGCAACCCGACUCCGUGAAGUUGGAUUCGCUAGUAAUCGCGCAUCAGCCAUGGCGCGGUGAAUACGUUCCCGGGCCUU